This is a long non-coding RNA of Ictalurus punctatus (channel catfish), 843 nucleotides long. Lineage: Eukaryota; Metazoa; Chordata; Actinopteri; Siluriformes; Ictaluridae. The record is from Ensembl.
UUAAGAUCCAGCUACAGCAUCUCAAAGGGGUUGAGGCCUGGAUUUGGCAUAGCCAUUCCAACACUCUGAUUUAUUUAUUUAUUAUUAUUUAGCAAUUUAGAUGUUGAUUUGCUGGUGUGAUUGGGGUAAUGGUCCUGCUGAAUGACCCAAUUUUGGCCCAGCUUAAACUGCUGUACAGAUUGCCUCACGUUUGUCUCAAGAAUAAGAAUACUGGUAUAAAGUAGAAUUCAUUGUUGUCUCAAUGACUGCAAGUUUCCUAGGUCAAAAGCCACCAUGCUUGCUAGUUGGUAUGGGGUGUUUGUGGUGAUACACAGUGUUUGGCUUUCACCAAACAUGACGCUGUGCAUGAUGACCAAUCAUCUCCACCUGUUUAUAAAAUACAGUUAAUUAUCUAAAACCACUCAAAACAAACUGCUAGAAUGUACGCUGGAUAAAUGUAUGUUGUAUGCUGUCUGUGACUGUAUGUUGUCGAUUCUCAAUCGCCAGUUAUGAGGUUAUUCAUUUUGAAUGCCUUCCUGCCCCACCAAAAUCUAUGGUCAUGCGAUACAGUUAAAUAAAUAAAAUAAAUUUAACUAAAUAAAUAAAUAAUACAAUAUAUUGGAUAAAAUAAAGAGGUCAUAUAAAAAGAGUUUGAUGAAUAAUUUUCAGUUCAUGCCUUUCCAAAUUAUGUACAGUUUUAUAUCAAUCUUGACACAGGAGAAGUGUUUUUUGACUUUGCAUCUGUUUUUCAGGCUUUACACUUCAGUUCUGUCUUGAUGAUGAAGUAAUUGGGCAGUUUUCCAUAUCACAGCCUGAUUCUCAUGCGUAACUGUGGUUUUUCACGCCUAUAUAACGGUGGGGGAG